Mercurialis annua (annual mercury) is the source of this 2215-nucleotide RNA transcript. It is a transcript of the gene named transcription factor TCP13-like, with no coding region annotated. Lineage: Eukaryota; Viridiplantae; Streptophyta; Magnoliopsida; Malpighiales; Euphorbiaceae. The transcript is spliced from 3 exons. The record is from RefSeq and is a predicted model, not a curated record.
AUUUUUGUAUCUUAGAAUUUAGAAACUAAAAAUUAGUCCUAACCAAACAUUCAUUGAGACAAUGAUUGCUCAACAUGCGUGAUAAAGGAAAAUGAUGAUAAGAUAUUGACUAGCACAUUAAUUUGACCGAUGGCGAGUCGUGCCACGUGGCGUUAUCUACUGCCAUUGCUUUAUCUUUACGUCUUCCUUGUGGAGCAUGGUCGGUUGAAUUCCGGCAUCUCCCUAUCUAAAAAUACUUCUACUUCACCAGUAAGUUUAUUCUCUGUAAUUACAAGGCUCAAACUUGAUCAUAUUUCAUUGCUAAAAUCAGAAGGUGAUAAGGCAGCUCAAGAUCUAUAUAUAUAUAUCUUCCUAUAGACUCACAAUAUUUCCAGAUUUUGUUCAUCAAGGCGAAUCGACAAUUAUUGAGACCAAUUGUGUGAGCUUAAGUACUUAAAGGAUACAGUUCUAUUAGUUCAGUUGGUUAAGCUCCAAAAAUGAGAAGCAUAUGAUGAUUAGUAUUUCAAAAGAAGAUAAUCAAGAUUCUCCAACAAAAAAUGAAGAAAAAACAACUGAUCUUCAUGGCAAGAUUGUUAAUGCCAGAGCUUCUUCAUCCGUCUCAACUCCAUGGUUAAGAUUGAAAGAUCCGCGAAUCGUUCGAGUUUCGCGUGCUUUCGGAGGAAAAGAUAGGCAUAGCAAAGUUUGCACCAUAAGAGGAUUGAGAGAUAGAAGAGUUAGACUUUCAGUUCCUACAGCAAUUCAAUUGUAUGAUCUUCAAGAUAGGCUCGGACUUAAUCAGCCUAGCAAGGUGAUAGAUUGGUUGCUUAACGCUGCGAAAAAUGAAAUCGAUGAACUCCCUCCACUUCCAUCAAUGCCACAUAUGAAUUUAGGGCUGCAUCAUCAAGUUGGUGCCUCACAAUCUAAGAUGUUGAAUAUGAAUAACAAUACCAUGAAUUGGGAAGAUGAUCAAGAUGGAUUAAGUACUAGACCGAAUUUUUGGAGCAAUGAAGAGUUUUUUAGGGCAAAAUCAAAAGAAAUUGCAAGAGAUUGUGUCGAUGAGAAAGACAAAUAUAGAAAACUUAAUGAAGAUGAUCAUAAACAAGAAAGCAGUGAAGAAGGCAAUACUCAUCCUUCUUCAUCUCCGGCGGGUGAUCUGAUGAACAAUCCGAUGCCAUAUGGUUCUUUCUUUCAAUUAGAACAUCCAAAUUUUCCAUUUUCGCAUGGAUUUACAAACCAAGACAAUGAUCUACACAAUCUAAAUGCUAUGCCAUUGCCAUCUACAUUGUCUCUAUCAUCUGGCUCUCAAAUUUUAGUAGCACCACAACCUUAUUUUCCUUCAGCAGAGAUUGAUCCAAGACAAAUGAAUCAUUUUCAAAUGUUAGCCUCAACUACUCAAAACCUCUUCACACCAAAUCCAUACUCCAUAAAUCAAUCUCCGAGACCUUUACAUUUCAGCUUAGCACCAAGCCUUUUUCAUUCCCUAAAUAAUGAAAAUCAUCACCCAGCAGAUAAUAAAGAGCAGUAGUAUUUUUCCUUCUAAACAAAGACAUCAUCAAUGGCGAUACGGAGAUUACAAGACAGCAGAAUCAAAUUAAUAAGCUCCAAAUUUGAGAAGGCAAAAAGGGAGGGGAGAGCGCUUGUGGGAGGAAUCGAACUCACAACCUAGCAGAUUGCUGCCCAUCGCUUAUAUCAUUUGAACUAUAGUUCAUUGGUGCAUUUCUUUAAUUAUAUCUGGUCUCUCUUUAAAUAGCUAGUAGCUGUUGAAGUGGGAAUCCCACAUUAGUUAUAUGUGUAAAUGGACAUGUAUUUAAAUAUUGGUUGGGCACCUCCACUUAAUACCAAUUGGUUUUAAGAUGGAAUCUAACAAUAGCUUCUUAAAGUCAAGAAGUAAAACCCUAGAAAGCAUAAAGAGCAAUAAACAAGGUAAUAAUACCCUUUAAUUUAUCUGUACAAAAAGUCUGUUGCAAGGACUAGGACAGGUCCCAGCAGCUUGAAUCAGGCUAAUAAUUUUAAGCUUGAGGAAAUUAAGAAGAGAAAGUAAAGAGGAAGAAGAAGAAGAGUGACGUGUUAAGUUGACACAAGAUCCAACAAAGUAAUGUAUUGAAGGAAUAGCAGCUUUAGAUGGUCAAGAAAGACACUGAUCGAAAGUUGCAUCCAAUUGAAAAAUUAGAAUCUGUGGUCCUUGGCAAACACACACACAUAUAAGGUAAAUCGUUUAUAGUUUGGAUUUUGGAAA